RNAcentral lists this ribosomal RNA (498 nucleotides) under uncultured bacterium. RNAcentral describes it as "bacterial SSU rRNA". It matches the Rfam family "Bacterial small subunit ribosomal RNA", at positions 28 to 533 of the family's 1533-position model. The record is from RNAcentral.
GACGAACGCUGGCGGCGUGCCUAACACAUGCAAGUCGAGCGGAGGUACAAUGAGAGCAAUCGAGAUGUACUUUAGCGGCGGACGGGUGAGUAACGCGUGAGCAACCUGCCUAUCACAGGGGGAUAAGGCGGCGAAAGCCGCUCUAAUACCGCAUGAGACCCUCAAAGCGAUGCAAUGGGGGUGAAAGGAGCGAUCCGGUGAGAGAUGGGCUCGCGUCCGAUUAGGUAGUUGGUAGGGUAAGGGCCUACCAAGCCAAUGAUCGGUAGCCGGCCUGAGAGGGUGAACGGCCACAUUGGAACUGAGAGACGGUCCAAACUCCUACGGGAGGCAGCAGUGGGGAAUAUUGGGCAAUGGGCGGAAGCCUGACCCAGCAACGCCGCGUGAGGGAAGAAGGUUUUCGGAUUGUAAACCUCUGUUCUUGGGGAAGAGGAGGAGACGGUACCCAAGGAGGAAGCCCCGGCUAACUACGUGCCAGCAGCCGCGGUAAGCACGAGAGUA